RNAcentral lists this ribosomal RNA (301 nucleotides) under uncultured bacterium. Its description in RNAcentral is "partial 16S ribosomal RNA". It matches the Rfam family "Bacterial small subunit ribosomal RNA", at positions 509 to 809 of the family's 1533-position model. The record is from RNAcentral.
CAGUAGCCGCGGUAAUACGAGGGGAGCUAGCGUUGUUCGGAAUUACUGGGCGUAAAGCGCGCGUAGGCGGCUUUUUAAGUCAGAGGUGAAAGCCCGGGGCUCAACCCCGGAAUUGCCUUUGAAACUGGAAAGCUAGAAUCUUGGAGAGGUCAGUGGAAUUCCGAGUGUAGAGGUGAAAUUCGUAGAUAUUCGGAAGAACACCAGUGGCGAAGGCGACUGACUGGACAAGUAUUGACGCUGAGGUGCGAAAGCGUGGGGAGCAAACAGGAUUAGAUACCCCAGUAGUCCCUGUCUCUUAUAA